GGAGUUAGCCGGUGCUUCUUCUGUGAGUGAUGUCCUUCCUGCCGGCUAUUAACCCGCAGGCCUUCUUCCUCACUGAAAGUGCUUUACAACCCGAAGGCCUUCUUCACACACGCGGCAUGGCUGGAUCAGGGUUGCCCCCAUUGUCCAAUAUUCCCCACUGCUGCCUCCCGUAGGAGUCUGGGCCGUGUCUCAGUCCCAGUGUGGCUGAUCAUCCUCUCAGACCAGCUACGGAUCGUCGCCUUGGUGAGCCGUUACCUCACCAACCAGCUAAUCCGACAUAGGCUCAUCCGAUAGCGCGAGGCCCGAAGGUCCCCCGCUUUCCCCCGUAGGGCGUAUGCGGUAUUAGCCUGGGUUUCCCCAGGUUAUCCCCCACUACCGGGCAGAUUCCUAUGCAUUACUCACCCGUCCGCCGCUCGCCACCAGGGAGCAAGCUCCCCGUGCUGCCGCUCGACUUGCAUGUGUUAGGCCUGCCGCCAGCGUUCAAUCUGAGCCAGNGANACAACUCGUCGACGUAGACGGCGGCGUCGGACGACGGCGCUAG
Molecule: ribosomal RNA, 541 nt
Filed under: uncultured bacterium
Lineage: Bacteria
Description: partial 16S ribosomal RNA
Source: RNAcentral